This 459-nucleotide long non-coding RNA is filed under the name Malus domestica (apple). RNAcentral describes it as "long non-coding RNA (MDOM_LNC020317)". Lineage: Eukaryota; Viridiplantae; Streptophyta; Magnoliopsida; Rosales; Rosaceae. The record is from RNAcentral.
AGAAGAACCCCUUAGCCAUUCCAUCACCCAUUGAUUCAUCACAUUUAGUUUACAAUCUGUGCAUUUAGUUCAAAUUCGUCCAAACACAAUUCCCCCAUAUUUUGUUAAGUUUGAGUCUUCAUAAUCUGUCCUCUUUGGUGUUUUUAAGUAUUUUGAAUCAUAAGUUUUGUCAAAUUCGUCCAAAUCUUGUCUUAGUUGCUGUUUGAGUCAAUUAACUUGUUUUAAUCAGUUUUGGGCAGAUUUGAGUGUUUCAAAUCUGUUUUGAAUCUUAGUAGUCUAAUUAGAGUCUUUAAGUUUAGUUUUUGUGUUUCUAAGUCGAUUUGUAUUAGAUUAGCACCCCUAGUUAAUCCCCGGUUAGAACGAUCCCUACUUACAUCAUUACUACAAUUGUCACAAAUAGGGUUUAAUUUGUGUGUCAAGUUAAUUUUCACAUCACGUUCUUAAAACAAUAGUAAGCAA